AUUGAGUGGGAAUAAAAUAUAUAAAUAAUUAAAGAUGAGAAAGCCUAUUUUACAGUGUUUAUUGUGAUUAAUAACUUGUAAAAUAGGCUUAUUUUAAUAUUGUUUCCCACCAAAAUUCCCACCUACCAAAAGACUUAGAA
RNAcentral lists this small RNA (140 nucleotides) under Clostridium cellulovorans 743B. Its description in RNAcentral is "Listeria sRNA rli38". It matches the Rfam family "Listeria sRNA rli38". The record is from Rfam by way of RNAcentral. Lineage: Bacteria; Bacillati; Bacillota; Clostridia; Eubacteriales; Clostridiaceae.